Molecule: long non-coding RNA, 1658 nt
Organism: Artibeus jamaicensis (Jamaican fruit-eating bat)
Lineage: Eukaryota; Metazoa; Chordata; Mammalia; Chiroptera; Phyllostomidae
Exons: 3
Source: RefSeq, a predicted model, not a curated record
UUCAUUCAGAAUGGUCGACCCGCUUGCCGCUCGGUACGAAUCAAACCCAAAUGUCUGCAUGUGGGGCUGGUCCCUGCCGGAGACUCGGGAGAUGAGGCUCCUCAGGGUACCGUGUGUGCUGGCUUUCCAGGGAGAAAUUUUGUAGGAAGAAGUCUUUGGGUUGGAGGAAAGCUUUGGGGUUCACUUUAAACUGGAAGCAAGAUGGACGACGGCACAGAGGGAUGGAGGCCCCCAUCGGUGCAGGUAGAGAGGAACUGGGCGCGCAGCCUGCCACCUCCCUCCUCUGCCUCUCAAGAGCCACCCGCCGGCAAAGAGCACAUGCUGGUGGCCACUCCUGGGCCUGAGUGGCCCACUGCGGGAAGGCUGCAGAGAUCCCGCAUCCCGUGCCUGGUGGGGCGAGUCCCGAGACAUCUACUUCCCCUGGGCGUGACUGAAAGAGACCAAGCUGAUACACAAGAAGGUUGACUUUCUUCCAAACUCUGCCUGUCCUCCAACUCUCACCGCCUUUAACACGUGAAUUGCUGUCGAUCAGAACUCUUGACGGUCUCCUGUCAUGUGAGUGUGUCUGAUGUGCCAGGCCCUGGCCACCUGUGGGCGUGGUCCCAGGUAAGUAGUAGUCCCCACGUCACACACAGGAAAAUGGAGACUCGGAGUGAGGAAGGACCCUGCUGACUGUGGUGGGCAGCCUCUGACCCCCAAACCCACAGCGCUCCACAUGGCAGUUUCUCAAGCUCAGGUGGGCCCAUUCCAAUGCCUACUCUGGAAGGUGUUGUGUUCAUCUCAACAAAAGUACAACUUCUCCAAGUAGGAAGGUGCAGCCUGCUUGAUGCAAACCCAGGACAUAAGGGGAUGGCACGUGCAACAUAAAGGUUUCCAAAGAUCUCAACAAAUACUUCCUGAAUGAGCAGAUAAGGAAGGCCCUUCAGCAUGAUUCAAAUCUCAAAGGUUAAAUUCUUAACCAACACCCACGAGACAGUUAUCUCUCUGAGGUUAGAAGCCACCCUUGUAUUGAACACGGUAAUAUGCACCAGUGUUUAGUGUUCAGAAAACAGCCAACACAUCACAGUCACCUGUUAGUCAGCUGUUUCCCUGACGCACCCCACGUCCAGGUGACACUGUGUAGAAAGUCAUUCUGAGAAAUGAGGCACACCCAGCUUUCCUAGUGUGCACGAGCUGAUCAGACACACCCCCCGUCCGACCUCCCUAGCCCCCAACAGCACAUUCUCACCAAACAGAGUCAAGUGCAAAGCUUCCCGACUGUGGGCCUGAUAAAGCCGUUCAGUAUCUCCGAACCUAAGGACAGAGUUGUGCAAAGGGGCAGGAAUGCCCACAGUUCACCGCCUCCCACAGCCUUCCCCGCCAAACUACUCUGCAGUGGUGUGGACUCUGCAAGGCUUACUUCACAUCUGCACUAUCGGACAGAUCUUGCAAAGUGGUGAGUGUGACCUACAAACGAGAGGGAUGUACUAUCGGGGCAUCUCUGAGAACAGUGAGGGGAAAUACCUCCUACCCGCACGCACCUCUGACCUCACUACGCUCGAGGUUCCCACACACGGCUGGAGGGAAGCAGCCACUAGGUUGAGCGCACACACAGUCACGAGCCGGUGUCUUGAGCAUCACUCUGCUGUUUGUGUGCACACGCUCACGACACCUCCCAA